This 434-nucleotide long non-coding RNA is filed under the name Pan troglodytes (chimpanzee). RNAcentral's name for it is "long non-coding RNA NONPTRT014175". Lineage: Eukaryota; Metazoa; Chordata; Mammalia; Primates; Hominidae. The record is from RNAcentral.
UGAGGGUGUCUGGUAAAGCAAGCUCGGGGAGGUGUUGGAAAUCUGAAUGUCACCCGCGGUCCGGAGCAGAUAGGAUGGGCUGGGAAGGUACCCGCGAACUGCCGCCGGAAUUCGCUGGCAGCUGUGCGAGGCUCAGGUGUUCUAGUUUCUUUGACAUUUCCCUUCCUGAAAGCGGCAAGGAGAGGUCUAAGAGUGGGCAAACUUCAACGUUCGGUUACAGUGUAAUUAAUGAGAGUGAAAGGAAGGAGGAAACCUGAACAGUACAUCCAGAGAAUCCAGCAAAGCAUACCACGGCAUGAACAUGCAAGUGGACAGAAUUAAAACACAUGCCAGAAACACUAAUGGAUUCUAAACAAGAUGCAGUUUCAUUUCCUGAGCCUAUACGUGAUGUUUUUAACUGUUCUCCAGUUAAUAUGUCUCCAUUUCCAGAAAUC